This 1123-nucleotide ribosomal RNA is filed under the name Selaginella sanguinolenta. RNAcentral describes it as "partial large subunit ribosomal RNA". It matches the Rfam family "Eukaryotic large subunit ribosomal RNA", at positions 47 to 1172 of the family's 3401-position model. Lineage: Eukaryota; Viridiplantae; Streptophyta; Lycopodiopsida; Selaginellales; Selaginellaceae. The record is from RNAcentral.
UAGGCGGAGGAGAGGACUAACAAGGAUUUCCUUAGUAACGGCGAGCGAACCGGAAGUUGCCCAGCUUGGAAAUCAGGACAUUCCGUGCCCUGAAUUGUAGUCUGGAGAAGCGUCCUCUGCAGCGGACCGGGCCUAGGUUCCUUGGAAUGGGACGCCGGAGAGGGUGAGAGCCCCGUCCGGCCCGGACCCUGCUGUUCCACGAGGUGCUGUCGACGAGUCGGGCUGUUUGGGAAUGCAGCCUUAAGCGGGUGGUAAAUCUCAUCCAAGGCUAAAUAUUGGCGAGAGACCGAUAGUGAACAAGUACCGCGAGGGAAAGAUGAAAAGGACUUUGAAAAGAGAGUUAAAAAGUGCUUGAAAUUGCUGGGAGGGAAGCGAAUGGAUGCCUUGCGUGCCUCCCGGUUGUGUGCGGAACGGUGUGAGCUGGUCCGCGGAUCAACGCGGGGGGUCGGCCAGCGUCGGUGGGGGUGGUGGGAUAAGUGUCGGGCACUUGUGGUCCGGCCGAUGCCGCUGCCCCCUCCGGGGCUCGAGUGGUGCGCCACAUCUGUGGCGGGCUGAAGCACCUGCGCUGCUCGGACGCUGGCAUCUCGGGCCUUCCAUCCGACCCGUCUUGAAACACGGACCAAGGAGUCUAACAUGUAUGCGAGCCGGUGGGUGCCAAACCCGGUGAGGCGAAAGGAAACUGAUUCGUGGGAUCCCCUUUGGGGUGCACCAUGGACCGACCGUGAUCUUCUGUGAAAGGUUUGAGUGUGAGCAUACCUGCUGGGACCCGAAAGAUGGUGAACUAUGCCUGAGCAGGGCGAAGCCAGAGGAAACUCUGGUGGAGGCUCGUAGCGAUACUGACGUGCAAAUCGUUCGUCAGACUUGGGUAUAGGGGCGAAAGACUAAUCGAACCAUCUAGUAGCUGGUUCCCUCCGAAGUUUCCCUCAGGAUAGCUGGAGCUCUUGGUGAGUUUUAUCAGGUAAAGCGAAUGAUUAGAGGCAUCGGGGGUGAAACACCCUCGACCUAUUCUCAAACUUUAAAUAGGUAAGGUGCCGGGGUUGCUCCGUUGAACCCCGGCCGUAGAAUGCGAGCUCCAAGUGGGCCAUUUUUGGUAAGCAGAACUGGCGAUGCGGGAUGAACCGAA